Molecule: long non-coding RNA, 376 nt
Organism: Dermacentor albipictus
Lineage: Eukaryota; Metazoa; Arthropoda; Arachnida; Ixodida; Ixodidae
Source: RefSeq, a predicted model, not a curated record
GUUUGGACAUACUGGUUGUACCGACCAUAUCUUCUGCAGAGUAAACACGGUCCCAUUUAACCUUCUACCUCUGCCCGUUCCAUAUUAAUCAAGCCCCUUACAGGCGUGAUAUAUUAGCUUCGCCUUGUGUCCUCACUGAACUAAACGAGGCAGCUUUGUUAUGUUUGGUGACUGUUACCACAAGCCUUCAUCGCCAGGCUUUUCGUCGGGCUGACAACUGAUUACCAUGCCACAUCCUUAUCUCCUUCACAAGCGACAUGCUUGCAAAUCCACAUUCUCGACAUCGACAAGAUGGCGCCUUUCUUCGAUGCGCCCUUACCUGGCGGGCUCGUUCUCCUGAGUUCAGCCACGUGGUCAACGUCUUCAAUAUAACCUG